UAGGUGGCAAGCGUUACUCGGAAUUACUAGGCGUAAAGCGCGCGUAGGCGGAAUGUUAAGUCUGUUGUUUAAUCUCUGGGCUCAACCCAGAAACUGCAACGGAAACUGGCGUUCUUGAGUGAGGCAGAGGAGAUCGGAAUUCCUAGUGUAGCAGUGAAAUGCGUAGAUAUUAGGAGGAACACCGGUGGCGAAGGCGGAUCUCUGGGCCUUUACUGACGCUCAAGUGCGAAAGCUAGGGGAGCAAA
RNAcentral lists this ribosomal RNA (245 nucleotides) under uncultured bacterium. Its description in RNAcentral is "partial 16S ribosomal RNA". It matches the Rfam family "Bacterial small subunit ribosomal RNA", at positions 528 to 772 of the family's 1533-position model. The record is from RNAcentral.